RNAcentral lists this ribosomal RNA (392 nucleotides) under uncultured bacterium. RNAcentral's name for it is "bacterial SSU rRNA". It matches the Rfam family "Bacterial small subunit ribosomal RNA", at positions 28 to 424 of the family's 1533-position model. The record is from RNAcentral.
GACGAACGCUGGCGGCGUGCUUAACACAUGCAAGUCGAGCGGGUAAGGCCCUUUCGGGGGUACACGAGCGGCGAACGGGUGAGUAACACGUGGGUGACCUGCCCUCAGCUCUGGGAUAAGCCUGGGAAACCGGGUCUAAUACUGGAUAUGACUCCAUGACGCAUGUUGUGGGGUGGAAAGCCUUGUGCGGCUGAGGAUGGGCCCGCGGCCUAUCAGCUUGUUGGNGGGGUGAGGCCUACCAAGGCGACGACGGGUAGCCGGCCUGAGAGGGCGACCGGCCACACUGGGACUGAGACACGGCCCAGACUCCUACGGGAGGCAGCAGUGGGGAAUCUUGCGCAAUGGGCGAAAGCCUGACGCAGCGACGCCGCGUGAGGGAUGACGGCCUGGUU